Molecule: ribosomal RNA, 240 nt
Filed under: uncultured bacterium
Lineage: Bacteria
Description: partial 16S ribosomal RNA
Rfam family: Bacterial small subunit ribosomal RNA
Source: RNAcentral
GUAUGCCUACGGGAGGCAGCAGUGAGGAAUAUUGGUCAAUGGGCGAGAGCCUGAACCAGCCAAGUCGCGUGAGGGAAGACGGUCCUAUGGAUUGUAAACCUCUUUUGUCGGGGAGCAAAAAGGCCUCGUGAGGCCACAAGUGAGAGUACCCGAAGAAAAAGCAUCGGCUAACUCCGUGCCAGCAGCCGCGGUAAUACGGAGGAUGCGAGAGUUAUUCGGAUUUAUUGGGUUUAAAGUGUG